Molecule: ribosomal RNA, 512 nt
Filed under: uncultured bacterium
Lineage: Bacteria
Description: partial 16S ribosomal RNA
Rfam family: Bacterial small subunit ribosomal RNA
Source: RNAcentral
GACGAACGCUGGCGGCGUGCCUAAUACAUGCAAGUCGAGCGAGCGAAACUAACAGAUUUACUUCGGUAAUGACGUUAGGACAGCGAGCGGCGGAUGGGUGAGUAACACGUGGGGAACCUGCCCCAUAGUCUGGGAUACCACUUGGAAACAGGUGCUAAUACCGGAUAAGAAAGCAGAUCGCAUGAUCAGCUUUUAAAAGGCGGCGUAAGCUGUCGCUAUGGGAUGGCCCCGCGGUGCAUUAGCUAGUUGGUAAGGUAAAGGCUUACCAAGGCGAUGAUGCAUAGCCGAGUUGAGAGACUGAUCGGCCACAUUGGGACUGAGACACGGCCCAAACUCCUACGGGAGGCAGCAGUAGGGAAUCUUCCACAAUGGACGCAAGUCUGAUGGAGCAACGCCGCGUGAGUGAAGAAGGUUUUCGGAUCGUAAAGCUCUGUUGUUGGUGAAGAAGGAUAGAGGUAGUAACUGGCCUUUAUUUGACGGUAAUCAACCAGAAAGUCACGGCUAACUACGUG